Molecule: non-coding RNA, 772 nt
Organism: Onthophagus taurus
Lineage: Eukaryota; Metazoa; Arthropoda; Insecta; Coleoptera; Scarabaeidae
Source: RefSeq, a predicted model, not a curated record
UCUAAUAAUUCUUGGUUGACUGAUGAAUUGAUAAUUCAUCAGUGCACAAAGUUGUAGAGGCUAAUUCAUUACUCUCUAGGCAACAAGGUUAAUAUGACAUACUUCCAAUAUUGUGGUCAAUAUUAUGAUUUAGACCUCUUUGACUGGAUAUUUUCAAACACUCAAACGACCUUUAUGAUAUGGUGAGUUAUUUUUUAAAUGAAUUAAUAACAAUUAUGUUUUAUUAGGGCUGGAAGAGAUUUUGAGAAAACAUAAUUUUUGCGAAAACCGGAGAUGUUAUAAACAUUUCAACUUUGCCCAGUUCAUGCAUCAUGGUUUUGUUGUGUACAGAAUGGGCUGGUCGACUUUUUAGCAGCAAGAAUAAAGCAGAUCUUUGAUACCAAAGAAAUAGAGACAUAUAAAUAGUUCAGGAAGCAUACAUACAAACUAUACCAACAGAGGCGGGCUGAUUAAUAUUAGGGCAAAUAGAUGGUUUGGCAUGUCAGGUUAUAAAAAGCUGGUACAUAAAGAAAGAAGAAGAAAUAAUUUGCCACAUAAUCCAUUUCUCAAUGGGACAUGAGUAUUUACACAAAUGUUUUUAUAGCAUUCGACUCAUGCGACAAAUGAGUUAAAAAAUUGUAAAGGUCAGUGAUAUGGGAGCAAUUUACAAGUCAAGUAUGAAGUAUUUUCGUAUGGUUGAAAAGCACAAAAUUGUAUUUGCUUGUGUAUCAGUUGCAAAACUCAAGAUAACGUUAAUCUGCACUCUGGUCAAUAAAAAUAUAAUAAAAGCAGA